UACGAAGGGGGCUAGCGUUGCUCGGAGUUACUGGGCGUAAAGCGCACGUAGGCGGCUUCUUAAGUCGGUGGUGAAAUCCUGGAGCUCAACUCCAGAACUGCCUUCGAUACUGGGAAGCUCGAGUCCGGGAGAGGUGAGUGGAACUGCGAGUGUAGAGGUGAAAUUCGUAGAUAUUCGCAAGAACACCAGUGGCGAAGGCGGCUCACUGGCCCGGUACUGACGCUGAGGUGCGAAAGCGUGGGGAGCAAACAGG
This 253-nucleotide ribosomal RNA is filed under the name uncultured bacterium. Its description in RNAcentral is "partial 16S ribosomal RNA". It matches the Rfam family "Bacterial small subunit ribosomal RNA", at positions 524 to 776 of the family's 1533-position model. The record is from RNAcentral.